Gymnodraco acuticeps is the source of this 802-nucleotide long non-coding RNA. RefSeq lists it as uncharacterized. The transcript is spliced from 2 exons. Lineage: Eukaryota; Metazoa; Chordata; Actinopteri; Perciformes; Bathydraconidae. The record is from RefSeq and is a predicted model, not a curated record.
UCGUCAACGAUGGAGGCACUGUGAAGCUGGACAGGAGACAUGCCUACUACCAUCAAAUACAGGCUCAGCUCCACCUCGUUGAUGUUGACUACUGCGACUUUGUUGUCUGGACUAAAAAUGACCUCUUUGUAGAGAGAAUUGUGCGUGAUGUGGACCUGUGGGACAACAUCAUUCCCAGAGUUGAGCGUUUCUUCAGACUAUGUGUUCUCCCUGAAGUGUUGGGACAGCAACUUACAAGGGGAAAGUUUCAGUUGCAAGAUGAUCAGGAGGGAGAGAAGGCGUGAUUACCAGCACCUGUGGUCUGUCCUGGUCCCGGAAUUUGUGGUUCUCUCCUUGUUGCAUUAUUAUUACGUGCCGUAGUGGGUGCUGGUGUUUGGGUGUGUGUGGGUGUCUUUUUCUCUCUCCCUCUGAUCUCCCCAGGUGCUCCCAAUCUCCAAUCAGCGCCUCCAUAUAGGACAUGAGGAAGGUUGCAGUCGUUCUCCCCUUAUCUUAAGCUUUGUUUGACAAGUUGGCUGGUGAGCCCUUUUUCGUUGUGUUAAUUAAAAGACCACUUUAUGGCGUCAGAGAUCAGUUUCCUCUCCUUUUUCUCUCGGCCGGUUAUGUUGUGUGUCGCUACUUCCCUUUGUACCCCUAUAUUUACAAGGGAACGUAACAUUUGCACAGUGGCAGCUCUUUAACCUGCAUUACAGCACCUUCAUAUUCACUGACCACACUCACUAGAGGAAGUAGGGCUGUGUGAUAUAUUGCUAUUGUAAAAAAGAUGUUUACUGAAAAGAUUAAAUGAUACUAAGACUGAAUAAUA